GGUAGUACCUUAGCUUAUGUUGAUAUAUAGCCGUCCGGCUCAAAGCCAGCUCCCGUGCCUCUUCGAGCAGAUCGAUGUCGUCUUCUCUUGCCUCCUUCGCUUCCGUCUCCGUGUAUAUGGUGACCCAAGGAGAGUCGAACUCAACAUCCAUGGGGAUGAUUGCCUCAGACCCAUAUACCAGAAAGAAUGGUGUGAAGCCGGUUGACCGGUUCGGCGUGGUGCGCACGCUCCACGAC
RNAcentral lists this long non-coding RNA (236 nucleotides) under Hordeum vulgare. RNAcentral describes it as "long non-coding RNA (HVUL_LNC006597)". Lineage: Eukaryota; Viridiplantae; Streptophyta; Magnoliopsida; Poales; Poaceae. The record is from RNAcentral.